CAUUCAUGAUUAUGAUAACAAUUGCAGUAACACUGAUUGACUGAAUCAUCAUCAUAAUGAUGAUGAUUCAGUCAAUCAGUGUUACUGUAAUUGUUACCGUCACAA
RNAcentral lists this microRNA precursor (105 nucleotides) under Capitella teleta. Its description in RNAcentral is "microRNA mir-598". The record is from RNAcentral. Lineage: Eukaryota; Metazoa; Annelida; Polychaeta; Capitellidae.